UGACACGGACAGCCGCCGCCGAGCAGUCUUUGACUAACAAAGUACUCGGUUCGCCCAUCACUACCAUUGAGCCAGCCCCCGUAGAGAUGACCUGUGUUUCCAUGCCUUUCUCGCCGUCUCAGCUAUCAUGCAGCCUCCUGACUCGCCACGCAGAGACAUCAGGUUUCAGUCAUGAACUUCGUGGUGGAGCAUGUGAGCAAGGAUUGAGGACAGCUAGGCAGGCUGGGUGGUCUUCGCAGCCAGCCUGAUAGUAUCCACACCACUCCACUCUUCCUUAUUUCCACCAAGGGAGGCAGUGCACCACAUUUCAUGCAAGAUGUGUUGCACCAAUGACGUGGCUUUGAGGGAAGCGCCUCUCUGUAUCCUUGCCCAGCACUUUAUGGAACACAUGAAGGUGCUCCAAGUUCCAAGAAGGGAGUGGUACACACGCUGCUGCACUCCAAGCUUUUGGAGGUCCAGCAGCACACUACUUUCAUGAAUUUGUGUGUAGAGUGCAAUACAGAGAGUGGCAAGGUGGAGGAUGCUUCAACAUUCACAGCAUCAUUGGUUCAUGUGUGUGUGUGUGUGUGUGUGUGUGUGUGUGUGUGUGGAAGGUAGUGAACACA
Molecule: long non-coding RNA, 605 nt
Organism: Portunus trituberculatus (swimming crab)
Lineage: Eukaryota; Metazoa; Arthropoda; Malacostraca; Decapoda; Portunidae
Exons: 5
Source: RefSeq, a predicted model, not a curated record